ACGGCGAGUGAAGCGGCAACAGCUCAAAUUUGAAAGCUGGCCUUCGGGUCCGCAUUGUAAUUUGUAGAGGAUGCUUUGGGUGAAACGCCAGUCUAAGUUCCUUGGAACAGGACGUCAUAGAGGGUGAGAAUCCCGUAUGUGACUGGAAAUGUUAACCUAUGUAAAGCUCCUUCGACGAGUCGAGUUGUUUGGGAAUGCAGCUCUAAAUGGGAGGUAAAUUUCUUCUAAAGCUAAAUAUUGGCGAGAGACCGAUAGCGCACAAGUAGAGUGAUCGAAAGAUGAAAAGCACUUUGGAAAGAGAGUUAAAAAGCACGUGAAAUUGUUGAAAGGGAAGCGCUUGCAAUCAGACUUGUUUAAACUGUUCGGCCGGUCUUCUGACCGGUUUACUCAGUUUGGACAGGCCAGCAUCAGUUUCGGCGGCCGGAUAAAGGCUCUGGGAAUGUGGCCUUCACUUCGGUGAAGGUGUUAUAGCCCAGGGUGUAAUACGGCCAGCCGGGACUGAGGUCCGCGCUUCGGCUAGGAUGCUGGCGUAAUGGUUGUAAGCGACCCGUCUUGAACCCCCG
This 563-nucleotide ribosomal RNA is filed under the name Aureobasidium pullulans. RNAcentral's name for it is "LSU rRNA". It matches the Rfam family "Eukaryotic large subunit ribosomal RNA", at positions 86 to 664 of the family's 3401-position model. The record is from RNAcentral. Lineage: Eukaryota; Fungi; Ascomycota; Dothideomycetes; Dothideales; Saccotheciaceae.